This 234-nucleotide RNase P RNA is filed under the name Desulfuromonas sp. RNAcentral's name for it is "partial RNase P RNA component class A". It matches the Rfam family "Bacterial RNase P class A", at positions 149 to 367 of the family's 367-position model. Rfam says of the family: Ribonuclease P (RNase P) is a ubiquitous endoribonuclease, found in archaea, bacteria and eukarya as well as chloroplasts and mitochondria. The record is from RNAcentral. Lineage: Bacteria; Pseudomonadati; Thermodesulfobacteriota; Desulfuromonadia; Desulfuromonadales; Desulfuromonadaceae.
UAAGGGUGAAAGGGUGAGGUAAGAGCUCACCAGUUCCGGCGGUGACGUCGGAAGCUCGGUAAACCCCAUCCGGAGCAAGACCGAAUAGGGGGACGUUUGAGGGCGGUCCGUCCGAAGUCCCCGGGUUAGGUUGCUUGAGGCCGUUGGCAACGGCGGCCCUAGAUGAAUGAUCGUCACUCCGCUGCGGGUAACCGCGGCGGGGAACAGAACCCGGCUUAUGGCCUUCUUCGACCA